RNAcentral lists this ribosomal RNA (726 nucleotides) under uncultured bacterium. Its description in RNAcentral is "bacterial SSU rRNA". It matches the Rfam family "Bacterial small subunit ribosomal RNA", at positions 111 to 823 of the family's 1533-position model. The record is from RNAcentral.
UAACACGUGAGUGACCUGCCUUUUAGACUGGAACAACUUACCGAAAGGUGAGCUAAUGCCGGAUGAGUUAUAUAAGUGCAUGUUUAUAUAGGAAAAGUUGGGGAGACCUGACGCUGAAAGAUGGACUCGCGUCCCAUUAGCUAGUUGGUAGGGUAAUGGCCUACCAAGGCGACGAUGGGUAGCCGGCCUGAGAGGGUGGCCGGCCACACUGGGACUGAGACACGGCCCAGACUCCUACGGGAGGCAGCAGUGGGGAAUUUUGCGCAAUGCUCGUAAGAGUGACGCAGCGACGCCGCGUGAAUGACGAAGGCCUUCGGGUCGUAAAGUUCUUUCGACAGGGAAGAAAAUGCCUAUAAGUAACUGUGUAUGUAUUGACGGUACCUGUAUAAGCAGCCCCGGCUAACUCCGUGCCAGCAGCCGCGGUAAUACGGAGGGGGCGAGCGUUGUUCGGAGUGACUGGGCGUAAAGAGCACGUAGGCGGUGUUGUAAGUCAUUAGUCAAAGACUAGAGCUCAACUUUAGUAAGGCUAGUGAUACUAUAAUACUAGAGUAUCAGAGAGGAUUGCAGAAUUCCUGGUGUAGCGGUGAAUUGCGUAGAUAUCAGGAGGAAUACCGUUAGCGAAGGCGGCAAUCUGGCUGGAAACUGACGCUGAGGUGCGAAAGCGUGGGUAGCAAACAGGAUUAGAUACCCUGGUAGUCCACGCUGUAAACGAUGGAUGCUAGGUGU